CCUACGGGAGGCAGCAGUGGGGAAUUUUGGACAAUGGGCGAAAGCCUGAUCCAGCAAUGCCGCGUGAGUGAAGAAGGCCUUCGGGUUGUAAAGCUCUUUUGUCAGGGAAGAAACGGUGGGAGCUAAUAUCUCUUGCUAAUGACGGUACCUGAAGAAUAAGCACCGGCUAACUACGUGCCAGCAGCCGCGGUAAUACGUAGGGUGCAAGCGUUAAUCGGAAUUACUGGGCGUAAAGCGUGCGCAGGCGGUUUUGUAAGUCUGAUGUGAAAUCCCCGGGCUCAACCUGGGAAUUGCAUUGGAGACUGCAAGGCUAGAAUCUGGCAGAGGGGGGUAGAAUUCCACGUGUAGCAGUGAAAUGCGUAGAUAUGUGGAGGAACACCGAUGGCGAAGGCAGCCCCCUGGGUCAAGAUUGACGCUCAUGCACGAAAGCGUGGGGAGCAAACAGGAUUAGAUACCCUGGUAGUCCACGCCCUAAACGAUGUCUACUAGUUGUCGGGUCUUAAUUGACUUGGUAACGCAGCUAACGCGUGAAGUAGACCGCCUGGGGAGUACGGUCGCAAGAUUAAAACUCAAAUGAAUUGACGG
Molecule: ribosomal RNA, 585 nt
Filed under: uncultured bacterium
Lineage: Bacteria
Description: bacterial SSU rRNA
Rfam family: Bacterial small subunit ribosomal RNA
Source: RNAcentral